UUUGUAGUUAGAUGUUCAAAAUCCAGCUCCUAAAAAAAAUUGCCAUCUAAUCCUCAAGAUUCUUGAAGUCCACAAAUAUUCAUUUUUCCAAUGUAAAAAAAUUGCCUGGAUGCUUGAAGUUUUACCCUGGAUGAUAUGUCAUCUGAAAAAACCUCAGCAAUUAUUUCGCAUUAAGCCAUGUAAUGCUCUGUAAAGUGGUGUUUCCCAGCCUGGGACUCAACCUGGUGUGUAAAAAACUUUUUUGAGAAUAUUUAAAGAUACCGAAGCUGAAGCAAACGGAGGGAUCAAAGUUGUUUGAAAGGGAGCAAGUAUGGAAAAACAGAGAAGAAAGGAGAGAUCUCUAUUAGGUGUGCCUGCCUGGACCUGAGUGCUGCUGUUGCAGGGGUACCAGGGGUCUCCACUGCCUGUAUGCCUGCCUGGCCAGAUCCUGGAGAGAGCAAUGGGGACCAGAGGGACCACAAGGGAA
RNAcentral lists this long non-coding RNA (466 nucleotides) under Phasianus colchicus (ring-necked pheasant). Its description in RNAcentral is "lncRNA (ENSPCLG00000000884.1)". Lineage: Eukaryota; Metazoa; Chordata; Aves; Galliformes; Phasianidae. The record is from RNAcentral.